UGAGAGGCAUCUCUUGAAUAUCAAAGGUGAGCCAGUACAGGAUGGACCCGCGUCUGAUUAGCUAGUUGGUAAGGUAACGGCUUACCAAGGCGACGAUCAGUAGCCGACCUGAGAGGGUGAUCGGCCACAUUGGAACUGAGACACGGUCCAAACUCCUACGGGAGGCAGCAGUGGGGAAUAUUGCACAAUGGGCGAAAGCCUGAUGCAGCAACGCCGCGUGAGUGAUGAAGGCCUGCGGGUCGUAAAACUCUGUCCUCAAGGAAGAUAAUGACGGUACUUGAGGAGGAAGCCCCGGCUAACUACGUGCCAGCAGCCGCGGUAAUACGUAGGGGGCUAGCGUUAUCCGGAUUUACUGGGCGUAA
RNAcentral lists this ribosomal RNA (362 nucleotides) under Clostridioides difficile. RNAcentral's name for it is "bacterial SSU rRNA". It matches the Rfam family "Bacterial small subunit ribosomal RNA", at positions 182 to 563 of the family's 1533-position model. The record is from RNAcentral. Lineage: Bacteria; Bacillati; Bacillota; Clostridia; Peptostreptococcales; Peptostreptococcaceae.